UGGGGAAUAUUGCACAAUGGACGAAAGUCUGAUGCAGCAACGCCGCGUGGAGGAUGACACAUUUCGGUGCGUAAACUCCUUUUAUAUAGGAAGAAAAUGACGGUACUAUAUGAAUAAGCACCGGCUAACUCCGUGCCAGCAGCCGCGGUAAUACGGAGGGUGCAAGCGUUACUCGGAAUCACUGGGCGUAAAGAGCGUGUAGGCGGGUAUAUAAGUCAGAAGUGAAAUCCAAUAGCUUAACUAUUGAACGGCUUUUGAAACUGUAUACCUAGAAUGUGGUAGAGGUAGAUGGAAUUUCUAGUGUAGGGGUAAAAUCCGUAGAGAUCAGAAGGAAUACCGAUUGCGAAGGCGAUCUACUGGAACAUUAUUGACGCUGAGACGCGAAAGCGUGGGGAGCAAACA
Molecule: ribosomal RNA, 402 nt
Filed under: uncultured prokaryote
Description: bacterial SSU rRNA
Rfam family: Bacterial small subunit ribosomal RNA
Source: RNAcentral